RNAcentral lists this transfer RNA (91 nucleotides) under Brevundimonas denitrificans. RNAcentral's name for it is "tRNA-Arg". Lineage: Bacteria; Pseudomonadati; Pseudomonadota; Alphaproteobacteria; Caulobacterales; Caulobacteraceae. The record is from RNAcentral.
UGCUGGCGGGGCGGGUGCGGAUCGGCUCGAUCUUCGGCGGCGAGGAACUGACCGUGCCGUCCGACCGCCUGUUCUAUUCAGGCGGCGGCGG